GUGCUUCAUCCCUCCGAUAAGCUUUUCAGCGUGUUCACAGUAGAGUUUAUAUUGUAGCUCUUUUCAGUCCGUUCAGGGUAGAGUUUAUGAUAUAGCUAUGUACAGUGACAGCUGAAAAGCUUAUCGAAGGGAUCGAGCAC
RNAcentral lists this microRNA precursor (140 nucleotides) under Picea abies (Norway spruce). Its description in RNAcentral is "miR11467b stem-loop (pab-MIR11467b)". The record is from miRBase by way of RNAcentral. Lineage: Eukaryota; Viridiplantae; Streptophyta; Pinopsida; Pinales; Pinaceae.